GUGACCUCGGAUCAGGUAGAUCCCCGGCA
RNAcentral lists this ribosomal RNA (29 nucleotides) under fungal endophyte sp. A8. RNAcentral describes it as "partial 28S ribosomal RNA". Lineage: Eukaryota; Fungi. The record is from RNAcentral.